Long non-coding RNA from Belonocnema kinseyi, 855 nucleotides. RefSeq lists it as uncharacterized. The record is from RefSeq and is a predicted model, not a curated record. The transcript has 2 exons. NCBI's taxonomy places the organism in Eukaryota, Metazoa, Arthropoda, Insecta, Hymenoptera, Cynipidae.
UAAGUACAAGUGCCGGACUGCCGGGUCGCACAGGGCACAGGUCAGUGCAAAACAAGGAGACGCAGAGGAGGUACAUCUGCAAAAAAUGUUCAGGAUGUCCAGUUUUUUUAAGAUGUCAUUGAUAUCAAAUUGAUUUGGAAAGUCUUCAAGAAAUUUCUUCGAUUGGUGAGUGUUUCUUUAUUAUAUUUUGUCCUUUUAUUUGCAGGGAAAAUGUUCUAUGAAACCAGGGUUUCUACUCACCUGGAAAACCUAGAAUUUUCAGGACAAUUUUAUGUACCGGAAAGUGCUUGGAAAUAUCCGGGAAUUUUAUGAAGUCAGGGAAUUUUUGAGAGUACUCUUAAAAUUUGUUUAAAUUGUCAUAUAAAAUUAAAUACAUUUUUCUCAGUUUUAGAAGUAACUUGUAUAAUACUAGAUUUAAACAUACUUAAAUCAAACUUCUUUUUAACCAGGACAAAAAUACCAAUUUUAAAAAUAGAAAAACACAUUUUAACAAUAUAUUGUCCAUUUUAGCACGGUUCACAAUUUAUAAAGCUACAAUCGAAAAUAUAAAAAUUCUCAAUUGUUCCCGUCUCAACAAUUUUAUUUGAAAAUCAUCUUUUUUCUUUGAAAUAUCUGCUAUAACAUUAUUCGUUGAGAAUAAACCUAUUUAGCAGAAAAUUUAAUUAUUUUGGUGGGUAGCAAAUCAUUUUUUUUUAAAUUCAUCAUUUUUGUUGAAAACUUACCACUGCUUUGUUGACUACUUGUUUUCGUUACAAUUUUUUGUUAACUGAAAAUAUAAUUAUUAAAAUUUGUCUGAAAAAGUAAUUUUUUUUUAUGUUAACAUUUCAACUACUUCAGUAAAAGUUGAAAAAAUUG